RNAcentral lists this ribosomal RNA (424 nucleotides) under uncultured bacterium. Its description in RNAcentral is "bacterial SSU rRNA". It matches the Rfam family "Bacterial small subunit ribosomal RNA", at positions 917 to 1350 of the family's 1533-position model. The record is from RNAcentral.
GGGCUUACACAAGCGGUGGAGCAUGUGGUUUAAUUCGAUACAACGCGCAAAACCUUACCAAUUUUUGACAUAGGAAAAGUAUUUUUGUUAUUAAAAAUCUCUUUUUUCUACAGGUGCUGCAUGGCUGUCGUCAGUUCGUGGCGUGAGCUGUUGGGUUAAGUCCUAGAACGAACGCAACCCACGUCUUUAGUUGCCAGCAUUUAGUUGGGCACUCUAGAGAGACUGCCGGUGAUAAACCGGAGGAAGGUGUGGAUGACGUCAAGUCAUCAUGCCCCUUACAUCCUGGGCUACACACGUACUACAAUGCUACGGACAAAGGGCAGCAAGUUCGCGAGGACAAGCAAAUCCCAUAAACCGUGGCUCAGUUCAGAUCGUAGGCUGCAACUCGCCUACGUGAAGGCGGAAUCGCUAGUAAUCGCAGGUC